GAGUNCAAGAGGGGAGAGUGGAAUUCCAUGUGUAGCGGUGAAAUGCGUAGAUAUAUGGAGGAACACCGGUGGCGAAAGCGGCUCUCUGGCUUGUAACUGACGCUGAGGCUCGAAAGCGUGGGGAGCAANCAGGAUUAGAUACCCUGGUAGUNCACGCCGUAAACGAUGAGUGCUAGGUGUUAGACCCUUUCCGGGGUUUAGUGCCGCAGCUAACGCAUUAAGCACUCCGCCUGGGGAGUACGACCGCAAGGUUGAAACUCAAAGGAAUUGACGGGGGCCCGCACAAGCGGUGGAGCAUGUGGUUUAAUUCGAAGCAACGCGAAGAACCUUACCAGGUCUUGACAUCCCUCUGACCGCUCUAGAGAUAGAGUUUUCCUUCGGGACAGAGGUGACAGGUGGUGCAUGGUUGUCGUCAGCUCGUGUCGUGAGAUGUUGAGUUAAGUCCCGCAACGAGCGCAACCCCUAUUGUUAGUUGCCAUCAUUCAGUUGGGCACUCUAGCGAGACUGCCGGUAAUAAACCGGAGGAAGGUGGGGGUGACGUCAAAUCAUCAUGCCCCUUAUGACCUGGGCUACACACGUGCUACAAUGGCUGGUACAACGAGUCGCAAGCCGGUGACGGCAAGCUAAUCUCUUAAAGCCAGUCUCAGUUCGGAUUGUAGGCUGCAACUCGCCUACAUGAAGUCGGAAUCGCUAGUAAUCGCGGAUCAGCACGCCGCGGUGAAUACGUUCCCGGGCCUUGUACACACCGCCCGUCACACCACGAGAGUUUGUAACACCCGAAGUCGGUGAGGUAACCUUUU
RNAcentral lists this ribosomal RNA (800 nucleotides) under uncultured bacterium. RNAcentral describes it as "bacterial SSU rRNA". It matches the Rfam family "Bacterial small subunit ribosomal RNA", at positions 644 to 1444 of the family's 1533-position model. The record is from RNAcentral.